AAAACUAUCUCGUUUCAGCCAUUAAUUUCAAUCUCGUCUCUCGAUUUCAAACAACACCGAAUGGCCUCAACACCUCCGCCUUCGACUUCCCAGGAUCAAUGCAAGAAGGAAAAAGAAGUUGUAGACAGAGGGAGAAAGAGAAGCAUCGAUGUGAAGAGAAACAUUGAUCUGUUUCCUCUUGUACUCACCUGACCUGGGCUCGAACCUGCAACCUUCUAGUAGUGCUGCUAAGGCCCUCCCUGAGGUCUUAAUCACCAGAAGCAAAGCAGAUCUUGGGUGCGGGAAGUGUCCCGCCUCCAGUCACACAGGAAGGAAGUGGCGGAGUGGAGCUGCGGGCCAGCUGGGCCUGGCUGCCACCUUUUGUUCCACUGUGUCUCCUGGGAGAGGACGGCCACCUUGAAAGCUGGCCAAACCUCUGGAGCCUGGAACUGAUAAGAAAAGUCACGAGGCAAAAGAUGGACUCGACAUAGAAAUACUUCAUUAACGGCGAAAAGUAUAGCACAGUGGAAGCAACACUUGCAGCAGAUGUGAUGGUUGGAGCUCCAGGGACCACAUUAGCCCAGAUGGAGCCCUGAGGGAUGGAAGCCAUGAACUGAGGAUGCAGAGCAGGAAGACAGAAGCCUGGUUCUUCGUGACCCGAGAGCAGGGGUCCACCAUGCUCGCCCUGAAAUGCUUCGUCUAGACUUCUUUUGUGUGGAAGGAAAAUAACUAAAUUGACUUGUUUAAGCUUA
Molecule: long non-coding RNA, 731 nt
Organism: Eptesicus fuscus (big brown bat)
Lineage: Eukaryota; Metazoa; Chordata; Mammalia; Chiroptera; Vespertilionidae
Exons: 6
Source: RefSeq, a predicted model, not a curated record